GGGGAAUUUUGGACAAUGGGGGCAACCCUGAUCCAGCCAUCCCGCGUGUGCGAUGAAGGCCUUCGGGUUGUAAAGCACUUUUGGCAGGGAAGAAACAGCCUGGGCUAAUAUCCCGGGCGACUGACGGUACCUGCAGAAUAAGCACCGGCUAACUACGUGCCAGCAGCCGCGGUAAUACGUAGGGUGCAAGCGUUAAUCGGAAUUACUGGGCGUAAAGCGUGCGCAGGCGGUUCGGAAAGAAAGGUGUGAAAUCCCAGGGCUUAACCUUGGAACUGCACUUUUAACUACCGGGCUAGAGUACGUCAGAGGGGGGUAGAAUUCCACGUGUAGCAGUGAAAUGCGUAGAGAUGUGGAGGAAUACCGAUGGCGAAGGCAGCCCCCUGGGAUGAUACUGACGCUCAUGCACGAAAGCGUGGGGAGCAAACA
Molecule: ribosomal RNA, 426 nt
Filed under: uncultured bacterium
Lineage: Bacteria
Description: bacterial SSU rRNA
Rfam family: Bacterial small subunit ribosomal RNA
Source: RNAcentral